Molecule: ribosomal RNA, 253 nt
Filed under: uncultured bacterium
Lineage: Bacteria
Description: partial 16S ribosomal RNA
Rfam family: Bacterial small subunit ribosomal RNA
Source: RNAcentral
UACGGAGGGUGCGAGCGUUGUCCGGAAUCACUGGGCGUAAAGGGCGCGUAGGCGGCAUGCCAAGCGUGUGGUGAAAGCCCGGGGCUCAACCCCGGGUCGGCCGUGCGGACUGGCGUGCUCGAGCACUGUAGGGGCGGGUGGAAUUCCGGGUGUAGCGGUGGAAUGCGUAGAGAUCCGGAAGAACACCGGUGGCGAAGGCGGUGCUCUGGGCCAGUACUGACGCUGAGGAGCGAAAGCGUGGGGAGCAAACAGG